GCGCCUGAAGUCAAGCAAGACCACCCGCUGAACUUAAGCAUAUUACUAAGCGGAGGAAAAGAAACUAACCAGGAUUGCCUCAGUAACUGCGAGUGAAGCGGCAACAGCUCGUCUUGAAUCGCCUCACGGCGAUAUGUGAGUCACGGCCUUACGUGGGGGAUGACGCGCAACUCGGCUGGAACGCCGGACCAAGGAGGGUGCUAGUCCCGUACCGCGUCGACCUCUGCGGUAGGCUGUGUUGAGCGAGUCGGGCAGUUUGGGAUUGCUGUCCUAACGGGAGGUAGACUCCUUCCAAAGCUAAAUAUCGACAGGAGACCGAUAGCGCACAAGUACUGUGAAGGAAAGAUGAAAAGCACUUUGAAAAGAGAGUUAAAAGACUUGAAAUCGCUGAGGAGGAAGCAGUGCGUGCAGCGCAGGAGCCAGUGCAAGGGGACUCACGAGUCCCUGGAAGCUGUCCCGCUGCAGAGUGCAGUGGGCUGUGCGUGAGGCUCUAGGCUGUGUGUCUGGAAGUCUGCGCUCGCCCGCUGAAGGCGCUCCGGCGACUCUGCCGCUGCGCGCACUGACCCGUCUUGAAACACGGACCA
Molecule: ribosomal RNA, 584 nt
Filed under: Spirostomum teres
Lineage: Eukaryota; Ciliophora; Heterotrichea; Heterotrichida; Spirostomidae
Description: eukaryotic LSU rRNA
Rfam family: Eukaryotic large subunit ribosomal RNA
Source: RNAcentral